UCCUUGAUAGUUUAUUAGAACAUUGAUUUUGUAAAUCAAAAGUUUUCAAAGGA
This 53-nucleotide transfer RNA is filed under the name Histiostomatidae sp. XFX. RNAcentral describes it as "tRNA-Thr". The record is from RNAcentral. Lineage: Eukaryota; Metazoa; Arthropoda; Arachnida; Sarcoptiformes; Histiostomatidae.